UGAGGAAUAUUGGUCAAUGGGCGCAAGCCUGAACCAGCCAUCCCGCGUGCAGGAAGACGGCCCUAUGGGUUGUAAACUGCUUUUCCAGGGGGAGAAUUUUUCUGUCGUGACAGGAAUUGACGGUACCCUGGGAAUAAGCAUCGGCUAACUCCGUGCCAGCAGCCGCGGUAAUACGGAGGAUGCGAGCGUUAUCCGGAUUUAUUGGGUUUAAAGGGUGCGUAGGCGGAUUGAUAAGUCAGUGGUGAAAACCUGCAGCUUAACUGUAGACUUGCCGUUGAUACUGUCAGUCUUGAGUGUGGUCAAGGUAGGCGGAAUGUGUAAUGUAGCGGUGAAAUGCUUAGAGAUUACACAGAACACCGAUUGCGAAUGCAGCUUACUGGGCCAUUACUGACGCUGAUGCGCGAAAGCG
Molecule: ribosomal RNA, 409 nt
Filed under: uncultured bacterium
Lineage: Bacteria
Description: bacterial SSU rRNA
Rfam family: Bacterial small subunit ribosomal RNA
Source: RNAcentral